AAAAGACCAUAGAUUGUUUAAUUAGCCAAAGGCCUAGAAGAAGAGGAAUAUUUUUGCCUGGCACCUAAAAUAUGUAACAGAAGCACCAGGCAUGCCUCCCUGAGGAGAGCAUUCCACAAGAUACGCCAGUCCUAGGUUCUGUUGGUCGAGGGCAGGUGUGCUACUGUAUAUACUGACCCGCACGUUGCAAACUGGUAUUAGUGGUGGCUGUUUUUGUUGGUCUAUAAUCUGUGAUGGUAAAAUAAGUUCACAACUUUGCUUUCUUUUUUAAAAGAUAAUUGAAAGCAAGAGAUAGCUAUGAUGGCGCAGUAAUGAUAUCUCACUUGAGACUACAUUAACUACAGGGGUAGCAAGCUGACGUGGAUUCUCCAGAAUUCACUAGAUGGAAAUACUAAGACGGUGAUUAUCUGCACAGUCCCUCAGACAUCCUUGGAAGAAACUCUUAGCACUCUCCAGUUUGCUACAAUAGCAAAAAAUGUGGAAAAUCUGAAGAGAGAUCGUUUACAAAUAGCAGACUUGAAACGAAGUCUAGAAGAAUCCCAGCUGGCACAGAUCCUUGAAGAGGAGAAGGCUCUUGAAAACGAGGAGCAGGAGAAAAUAUGGAUUGUCACCGAGAUGCUGGUGACACCAUCUGCUUCUUCUGCAUCAGCAGAGGAGUUCAAGUUAAUAUUUAAAAAUUUAAAUGUUGUGGGACCUUUGGUGGAAAACUGGUGGCUCUUCCACAUUUCUUGUCUCAGCUGUUAAGUAAUCAAAUUGGGUGAAGGACGCCUGGGAAUGGCUAGAAGGGUGCCACUGUAGAAAGGGACCUUCUGAUGUGUAGAAGCUUAACCUAGCUCUGUUGAGGCAUGCUUGAAGCAGGAAGUUCAUCCCAGGAAGCUGGCAUAUCUCCAGUGAGCUGCUGCUGGUGGCCUUGCAUGUAUAAUCAAUCAGAGCACUAUUGUUUAGUCUUAGCCAAAUGCCUUGAAUUCUUUGGUCAGUUUGUCAGUUUUAAUGUAAUGCUGCGUCACACCUAAUACUAAUUAUUCAAGUACUUAUUAUUCAUUUUAACUCUUGAAAUUUUAAAUCCUCAAUUUUUAUAAUAUUGGUCUUGGUGUUGUUUACUAUUAAACUGGCUUGUUGUUUUUUAUAUAUUGCUUUGACACCUCUACAGAAUUUUUCUCCAAGAGCUGAUAGUUCUAUCGUUUUUUGCAGAAAGGCCCAAGAUCAAAGGUUUUUUCGGCGUCUAUUAGCAUAAAUGCUACUUUUUUGCUAGGUCUUUAUUCCAAAUAUUCAAUUAAAUCAAUAACCACUCUAGUGUUUGUUUUCAUAUGUCUGUUUGGUAGAAAGCCCGAUUGAUCAUAAUUAAUAGUAUCUUUUAGUAUUAAUUUGAGUCUGCUGGCCAGGAUGCCCGCAAAUAAUUUAUAAUUGUUGUUUAAUAGUGAGAUGGGUCUGUAGUUACUUACUGGUGUUCCUUGAUUAUGAAUUUAUACAAUAUUUGCUUCUUGCCAUGACAUUGGAAUUUUACCUUCUUCCAAUAUUUUAUUCAUUAGAUUUUUUUAAAGGCAAGACUAUGUUAUCUUCCAGGAAUAAGGAGAGAUUCAUUCUUCCCCAUAUUUCUAGAUUCCUUUUUAUCAUUCCAACAUUUUUCAUAAUUAUCUUUAUGAAUAUUAAUAUUUUGAUCUUCUUUAAAUGAUUUUGUCAGCCACUCUGAAAGGUGUAAAAAGAAAAGAUGGCCUAGGAUUAUUUACACACCCACUUUGUCUUACCUCUUUUUUCUGUUUCCCUUUCAAGAGCCUCAAACCAAAAGUGGGUAUGUCCUUCCAGAUCUAAUAAAUCAGUAUUUUCUAAUUUGACCCGAUCCUGUAUCCAAGUAAUGCAGCUUGCCUCAUAGAAAAAUUCUCAGUCUGGAAGACAGCCAUUUUUUCAUAUGUGGUGGAAUUGUAAAAUAAUUAUAAAGUAUUGGGAUAUGAUUUAUAAUGAAAUGAAAAAAAUGUUCAAGUUAACCUUUGUUAAAAGUUCAGUAGCAUUUUUAUUAGAUAUUGUAGGGAAAUAUUUACCAAAAUAUAAGAAUCUAUUUAUGUAUGCGACAACAGCGGCCAGAAUUCUACUACCUCAAAGAUGGAAAAGCAACAACAUACCAACGAAAGGACAUUGGCAAGAAAAGUUGAUGGAAUACGCUGAAAUGGCAAAGUUAACUGAGAGACUCAAAGAUAAGGACAAUAAUGACUUUUAAAAGAUUGGGAACCUUUUAUGAUAUAUAUACAGAAACAAUGCACUGAAAUAAACUAAUUUGCAGGAUUCGAGUAAUACACUUACAAUGGACAUAUAUUAAUAUGAGGUAAAAAUGUUAAGAAUAAAUAAUAAUACAAUUUUAAUUUCAGUAUAUAAGGCAUCAAAACUAUAAGCAGAAGAAACAAAUAUGCUAUAAACCAGAAAGGGAAGUUGGGGGAAGUCACUGUGGGAGGGGGGCGUUAAUUGAAAUUGAAAAAUGUAUGGUAAUUUGAUUUUUUGAUUAUGUUAAAAUUUGUAAUCUUAAUAAAAAAAAUUAAAAAUGAUUGCCAAGCGAUCCAAGAUCAAGUCCUUUGUGAAGGUCUACAAUUUGCACCAAUAAAUAUUUUUAAAGCCCCUCCCCCCAAAAAACUGUUCGUGGUUUUUAUACUUUAUGUGUAAAUACUUAUUUUUAAGGUGAUUUUAAAAGAUGAAAUAAAUAAUAGACCUUUGCACAAAUA
Molecule: long non-coding RNA, 2708 nt
Organism: Podarcis muralis (Common wall lizard)
Lineage: Eukaryota; Metazoa; Chordata; Lepidosauria; Squamata; Lacertidae
Source: RefSeq, a predicted model, not a curated record